GAUGAACGCUGGCGGCGUGCCUAAUACAUGCAAGUCGAGCGAACGGACGAGAAGCUUGCUUCUCUGAUGUUAGCGGCGGACGGGUGAGUAACACGUGGAUAACCUACCUAUAAGACUUGGAUAACUUCGGGAAACCGGAGCUAAUACCGGAUAAUAUUUUGAACCGCAUGGUUCAAAAGUGAAAGACGGUCUUGCUGUCACUUAUAGAUGGAUCCGCGCUGCAUUAGCUAGUUGGUAAGGUAACGGCUUACCAAGGCAACGAUGCAUAGCCGACCUGAGAGGGUGAUCGGACAAACGGGAACUGAGACACGGUCCAGACUCCUACGGGAGGCAGCAGUAGGGAAUCUUCCGCAAUGGGCGAAAGCCUGACGGAGCAACGCCGCGUGAGUGAUGAAGGUCUUCGGAUCGUAAAACUCUGUUAUUAGGGAAGAACAUAUGUGUAAGUAACUGUGCACAUCUUGACGGUACCUAAUCAGAAAGCCACGGCUAACUACGUG
Molecule: ribosomal RNA, 497 nt
Filed under: uncultured bacterium
Lineage: Bacteria
Description: partial 16S ribosomal RNA
Rfam family: Bacterial small subunit ribosomal RNA
Source: RNAcentral